Molecule: ribosomal RNA, 404 nt
Filed under: Actinomycetes bacterium
Lineage: Bacteria; Bacillati; Actinomycetota; Actinomycetes
Description: Actinobacteria bacterium partial 16S ribosomal RNA
Rfam family: Bacterial small subunit ribosomal RNA
Source: RNAcentral
UGGGGAAUAUUGGACAAUGGGCGCAAGCCUGAUCCAGCCAUGCCGCGUGAGUGAUGAAGGCCCUAGGGUUGUAAAGCUCUUUCACCGGUGAAGAUAAUGUCGGUAACCGGAGAAGAAGCCCCGGCUAACUUCGUGCCAGCAGCCGCGGUAAUACGAAGGGGGCUAGCGUUGUUCGGAUUUACUGGGCGUAAAGCGCACGUAGGCGGACUUUUAAGUCAGGGGUGAAAUCCCGGGGCUCAACCCCGGAACUGCCUUUGAUACUGGAAGUCUUGAGUAUGGUAGAGGUGAGUGGAAUUCCGAGUGUAGAGGUGAAAUUCGUAGAUAUUCGGAGGAACACCAGUGGCGAAGGCGGCUCACUGGACCAUUACUGACGCUGAGGUGCGAAAGCGUGGGGAGCAAACAGG